GACGAACGCUGGCGGCGUGCUUAACACAUGCAAGUCGAGCGGUAAGGCCCUUUCGGGGGUACACGAGCGGCGAACGGGUGAGUAACACGUGGGUGACCUGCCCUCAGCUCUGGGAUAAGCCUGGGAAACCGGGUCUAAUACUGGAUAUGACUCCAUGACGCAUGUUGUGGGGUGGAAANCCUUGUGCGGCUGAGGAUGGGCCCGCGGCCUAUCAGCUUGUUGGUGGGGUGANGGCCUACCAAGGCGACGACGGGUAGCCGGCCUGAGAGGGCGACCGGCCACACUGGGACUGAGACACGGGCCCAGACUCCUACGGGAGGGCAGCAGUGGGGGAAUCUUGCGCAAUGGGCGAAAGCCUGACGCAGCGACGCCG
This 373-nucleotide ribosomal RNA is filed under the name uncultured bacterium. RNAcentral's name for it is "bacterial SSU rRNA". It matches the Rfam family "Bacterial small subunit ribosomal RNA", at positions 28 to 399 of the family's 1533-position model. The record is from RNAcentral.